UUCCCGUGUUCUUGGAGAUGGAACGCAGUCUCAAAAAGAUCUUU
RNAcentral lists this transfer RNA (44 nucleotides) under Palpitomonas bilix. Its description in RNAcentral is "partial Selenocysteine transfer RNA". The record is from RNAcentral.